Molecule: ribosomal RNA, 309 nt
Filed under: Triticum aestivum (bread wheat)
Lineage: Eukaryota; Viridiplantae; Streptophyta; Magnoliopsida; Poales; Poaceae
Description: partial small subunit ribosomal RNA
Source: RNAcentral
AUGAGUUGCGCGUCAUUAUUGGAAGUGUGUGUUCAUUUGUACGGUUAUCAAGACGAAAUCUGUAUUGUCCGGAGAAAAAAUAGAUUUGUGUUUAAGAAGAAAUCUUGUUCAGAAACGUUUGCUACUGACUUACUUUUGGUCAAAUCUUGUUCAGAAACGUUUGCUACUGACUUACUUUUGGUCAAAUCUUGUUCAGAAACGUCAUCUACUCACCCAUCUCUUCUUAGUUUUCUGACCAAAGAAAAACAGCAAAGUGUCAACUCCAACCCCCCAAAGAUGGGUCUCGAAAAUGAAAGAAGAAUCCCGUAG